Molecule: long non-coding RNA, 534 nt
Organism: Lagopus muta (rock ptarmigan)
Lineage: Eukaryota; Metazoa; Chordata; Aves; Galliformes; Phasianidae
Exons: 3
Source: RefSeq, a predicted model, not a curated record
UUCCAGUGCAGGGGCUCAGCACCAGCAGAACCAGCAGCACCUGGGCCAACGAGGCUCUCAGCCAUCCAUCCCCACUUGUGCUCCCCUCCCAGAUGGGGUCAAUUUGGCACUGAUGGCUGGGAGCGCACAGCAUCCAGCCUGCUGGGCAGGCACUGCAGCUUGGUUGGGUUGGAGAUGAUUUAAGCGCAUGGGAAGAACCAGGGCUGCCUGUUUGUGCCUCCUGGAGCUGCUCAUCCUCUCCAAGCACUGAUGUUAGGGCUCUGCCUCGCUGUACUUAAAGCUUAUGGCUCACUACGCUUAGGAUUUGUUUCUCCAGCACUGGUUGCUCUGAAAUUUUCUUCCUGUGGGCCACAGAUGUUAAUUCCAGCUGUAUCCAAUCUAAGAGUGCGAGUCGCUGAUUUACGGAUGGGAAAAGGUGUUUCAGCUGGAAGCAGGAAAUUGGACAUUGAUUGGAGGACAGAAGUUCGGAGCAAGAGUUAAAGCAAAGUGACAUUUCCAUACAUUAGGGAAGCGGGAGAAGUCGGCCCAACGCAG